RNAcentral lists this ribosomal RNA (771 nucleotides) under uncultured bacterium. RNAcentral's name for it is "bacterial SSU rRNA". It matches the Rfam family "Bacterial small subunit ribosomal RNA", at positions 8 to 796 of the family's 1533-position model. The record is from RNAcentral.
AGAGUUUGAUCCUGGCUCAGGACGAACGCUGGCGGCGUGCUUAACACAUGCAAGUCGAGCGGAAAGGCCCUUCGGGGUACUCGAGCGGCGAACGGGUGAGUAACACGUGAGUAACCUGCCCCAAACUUUGGGAUAACCCUCGGAAACGGGGGCUAAUACCGGAUACGACACAGCUUCGCAUGGGGUCUGUGUGGAAAGUUUUUCGGUUUGGGAUGGGCUCGCGGCCUAUCAGCUUGUUGGUGGGGUAACGGCCUACCAAGGCGACGACGGGUAGCCGGCCUGAGAGGGCGACCGGCCACACUGGGACUGAGACACGGCCCAGACUCCUACGGGAGGCAGCAGUGGGGAAUAUUGCACAAUGGGCGGAAGCCUGAUGCAGCGACGCCGCGUGAGGGAUGACGGCCUUCGGGUUGUAAACCUCUUUCAGCAGGGACGAAGCGCAAGUGACGGUACCUGCAGAAGAAGCGCCGGCCAACUACGUGCCAGCAGCCGCGGUAAGACGUAGGGCGCGAGCGUUGUCCGGAUUUAUUGGGCGUAAAGAGCUCGUAGGCGGCUUGUCACGUCGACUGUGAAAUCCCGCGGCUCAACUGCGGGUCUGCAGUCGAUACGGGCAGGCUAGAGUUCGGUAGGGGAGACUGGAAUUCCUGGUGUAGCGGUGAAACGCGCAGAUAUCAGGAGGAACACCGGUGGCGAAGGCGGGUCUCUGGGCCGAUACUGACGCUGAGGAGCGAAAGCGUGGGGAGCGAACAGGAUUAGAUACCCUAGUAGUCC